This 253-nucleotide ribosomal RNA is filed under the name uncultured bacterium. Its description in RNAcentral is "partial 16S ribosomal RNA". It matches the Rfam family "Bacterial small subunit ribosomal RNA", at positions 524 to 776 of the family's 1533-position model. The record is from RNAcentral.
UACAGAGGGUGCAAGCGUUAAUCGGAAUAACUGGGCGUAAAGGGUGCGUAGGCGGAUUCUUAAGUCAGAUGUGAAAUCCCCGGGCUCAACCUGGGAAUGGCAUUUGAUACUGGGAGUCUCGAGUAGAGGAGAGGAGAGUGGAAUUUCAGGUGUAGCGGUGAAAUGCGUAGAUAUCUGAAAGAACACCAGUGGCGAAGGCGGCUCUCUGGCCUCAUACUGACGCUGAGGCACGAAAGCGUGGGGAGCAAACAGG